GAUAACCGGGGCGGGAUAAGCGGGAUGGGACAACCGGGGUGGGAUAACCGGGGCGGGAUAAGCGGGAUGGGACAACCGGGGUGGGAUAACUGGGGCGGGAUAAGCGGGAUGGGACAACCGGGGUGGGUCAGUCGGGAGGGGGUAACAGGGACAGGACAAUCGGGAUGGAACAAUCGGCGUGGGAUCACCGCCAUGACCCGGUGGGGGGGGAGCACGGAGGGAGCCUUGGAUGGUCGGGAAUGGCUUGAACGCCUUGCUGGUGAUUCUCCUCCACGGUAUUAAAGCAAAUUCGCACAGGCACGCCGCGUGUUGUUGGCUUCUCCUCUUCGGCUUCUUCUUUUUGUUCCUUUCCCCAACCCGAAAUACCGGGAUUUGUGAUGCUUUCAGGCUGAAAUGCUUUCGUGGGAAAUGAGGCCCUCAGCUGGUAGUAGGGAGGCUGACAGGACAGGUAGCAGAUACUUAAAUUAGUGGCACUGGAGCUUUAGAGCUUAUGGACUCUAGAAUUUAUAAGCUGCAUUACCAGAAUUUAUUAGCUGUGUUACGUAGCUUGAGUAUUUGGGAAGAGGACGCUUAAAUUAUGUUGGUGUGCAGCUAUAGGCACGUGGGUGAUAAAAGGAAGAUUAGGGGAAACAUGGGCCCUCUCAAAAGGGAAAUGGGACACCUGGUUACCUGGGAUAUGGAGAAGGCUGAGGUACUCCACGAUUUUUUUGCCUCAGUCUUCACUAGCAAGUGACACCACCAGAGCUGCAGAAGGCAAGGCAAGGAUGAGAAUGAAGAACCACCUGCUGUAGGAGAAGAUUGGGUUUGAGACUGUCUAAGGAACCUGAAGGUGCACAAGUCCAUGGGAUUUGAUGAGAUGCAUCCACUGAACCUGGGGGGUCUUGCAGAUGAAGUGUCUAAGCUGCUAUCCAUAUAUGAGAAGCUAAGGUAGUCUGGUGAAUUUCCCACUGGCUGGAAAGGGGAAAAUAUAGCCCCCCUUUUUAAAAAGAGAAAAAAGGAAGUCAUGCCUCUGUGCCCAGCAAGAUCAUGGAGCAGAUCUUCCUGGAUCCUAUGUUAAGAUGGAAGGCUUCAGACUUGUUAAUCAAUGCUGUUGUAUGCACUGUGACAGAUGGAAGUAUCUAUUUUAUAGCAGAGUAGAGAUGUCAACUGCAUUACUAUGUAUGUGUGUCCACAUACAUUUCCCCGAAUCAGUUACAAGGGCACCUUCUCCUUCCUCUCCUCUGGGACCAAGCCCCUGGACCAUCUGCUGUAAAUUUGCUCUGGCAGAACUAAAAAAUAAAAAUGGUUUUCGAAACUGUAA
Pseudopipra pipra is the source of this 1300-nucleotide long non-coding RNA. RefSeq lists it as uncharacterized. The transcript has 2 exons. NCBI's taxonomy places the organism in Eukaryota, Metazoa, Chordata, Aves, Passeriformes, Pipridae. The record is from RefSeq and is a predicted model, not a curated record.